Molecule: unclassified non-coding RNA, 335 nt
Filed under: soil metagenome
Description: partial contains 5.8S ribosomal RNA, internal transcribed spacer 2, and large subunit ribosomal RNA
Rfam family: 5.8S ribosomal RNA (bases 1-120)
Source: RNAcentral
GAUGAAGAACGCAGCGAAAUGCGAUAAGUAGUGUGAAUUGCAGAAUUCAGUGAAUCAUCGAAUCUUUGAACGCACAUUGUGCCCCUUGGUAUUCCAUGGGGCAUGCCUGUUCGAGCGUCAUUUGUACCUUCAAGCUUUGCUUGGUGUUGGGUGUUUGUCUCGCCUUUGCGUGUAGACUCGCCUUAAAAUAAUUGGCAGCCGGCGUAUUGAUUUCGGAGCGCAGUACAUCUCGCGCUUGCACUCAUAACGACAGCGUCCAAAAGUACAUUUUACACUCUUGACCUCGGAUCAGGUAGGGAUACCCGCUGAACUUAAGCAUAUCAAUAAGCGGAGGA